RNAcentral lists this ribosomal RNA (654 nucleotides) under uncultured eukaryote. RNAcentral's name for it is "SSU rRNA". It matches the Rfam family "Eukaryotic small subunit ribosomal RNA", at positions 613 to 1275 of the family's 1831-position model. The record is from RNAcentral.
UUGCAGUUAAAAGCUCGUAGUUGGAUUUCGGAGUGGGCCAGUUGGUCCGCCGCAAGGUGUGUUACUGACUGGUUUGCUCUUCUUCGCAAAGACUGCGUGUGCUCUUCAGUGAGUGUGCGUAGGAUUUACGACGUUUACUUUGAAAAAAUUAGAGUGUUCAAAGCAGGCUAUUGCUCGAAUACAUGAGCAUGGAAUAAUGGAAUAGGACUUUGGUCCCAUUUUGUUGGUUUCUAGGGCCGAAGUAAUGAUUAAGAGGGACAAUUGGGGGCAUCCGUAUUUCGUUGUCAGUGGUGAAAUUCUUGGAUUUACGAAAGACGAACAACUGCGAAAGCACUUGCCAAGAGUGUUUUCAUUAAUCAAGAACGAAAGUUAGAGGAUCGAAGAGGAUCAGAUACCGUCCUAGUUCUAACCAUAAACGAUGUCGACUAGGGAUCAGCGGGCGUUAUCGUACGACCCCGUUGGCACCUUACGGGAAACCAAAGUUUCUGGAUUCCGGGGGAAGUAUGGUUGCAAAGCUGAAACUUAAAGGAAUUGACGGAAGGGCACCACCAGGAGUGGAGCCUGUGGCUCAAUUUGACUCAACACGGGAAAACUUACCAGGUCCAGACAUAGUAAGGAUUGACAGGUUGAGAGCCCUUUCUUGAUUCUAUGGGU